RNAcentral lists this ribosomal RNA (1086 nucleotides) under uncultured bacterium. Its description in RNAcentral is "bacterial SSU rRNA". It matches the Rfam family "Bacterial small subunit ribosomal RNA", at positions 34 to 1154 of the family's 1533-position model. The record is from RNAcentral.
CGCUGGCGGCGUGCCUUAUGCAUGCAAGUCGAACGAGACCAAGGUUUCGGCCUGAAGUCUAGUGGCGGACGGGUGAGUAACACGUACGUGACCUGUCCGGAAGUGGGGAAUAACCAGCCGAAAGGUUGGCUAAUACCGCAUACGGUUACUGCUUAGAAGCAGCAAACCAAAGUCGAAAGACGCUUCCGGAGGGGCGUGCGGCCGAUUAGCUAGUUGGUGUGGUAACGGCGCACCAAGGCGGUGAUCGGUAGCUGGUCUGAGAGGAUGGUCAGCCACACUGGGACUGAGACACGGCCCAGACUCCUACGGGAGGCAGCAGCAGGGAAUUUUGCGCAAUGGGGGCAACCCUGACCCAGCAACGCCGCGUGCAGGAUGACGGCCUUCGGGUUGUAAACUGCUUUUGGGAAGGACGAGCGAGGACGGUACUUCCCGAAUAAGUCACGGCUAACUACGUGCCAGCAGCCGCGGUAAAACGUAGGUGGCGAGCGUUAUCCGGAUUUACUGGGCGUAAAGCGUGUGCAGACGGGGCACCAAGUGGUGUAUGAAAUCGCCAUGCUCAACGUGGCGGGGUUAUGCCAGACUGGUGGUCUAGAGUGCGGGAGAGGGACGUGGAAUUCCGGGUGUAGUGGUGAAAUGCGUAGAGAUCCGGAGGAACCCCAGAGGCGAAGGCGGCGUCCUGGCCCGACACUGACGUUCAGACACGACAGCAUGGGGAGCGAACGGGAUUAGAAACCCCGGUAGUCCAUGCCGUAAACGAUGCAGACUAGGCGCUGGUGGCGGAUACGUCAUUGGUGCCGCAGCAAACGCGAUAAGUCUGCCGCCUGGGGACUACGGCCGCAAGGCUAAAACUCAAAGGAAUUGACGGGGGCCCGCACAAGCAGCGGAGCGUGUGGUUUAAUUCGAGGCUACACGAAGAACCUUACCUAGACUUGACAUGCGUCUGAACGAGGGUGAAAGCCUGAGGUUCGCAAGACAGACGCACAGGUGCUGCAUGGCUGUCGUCAGCUCGUACCGUGAGGUGUUAGGUUAAGUCCUGUAACGAGCGCAACCCUCGGGGUCAGUUACACGAGUCUGACCCGACUGCCC